This 226-nucleotide ribosomal RNA is filed under the name uncultured bacterium. Its description in RNAcentral is "partial 16S ribosomal RNA". It matches the Rfam family "Bacterial small subunit ribosomal RNA", at positions 1274 to 1500 of the family's 1533-position model. The record is from RNAcentral.
CUAAAAAAUAGGUCUCAGUACGGAUCUAGGCUGNAACCCGCCUGCGUGAAGUUGGAAUUGCUAGUAAUCGCGGAUCAGCAUGCCGCGGUGAAUACGUUCCCGGGCCUUGUACACACCGCCCGUCACACCAUGGGAGCCGGUAAUGCCCGAAGUCAGUAGCCUAACCGCAAGGAGGGCGCUGCCGAAGGUAGGAUUGGCGACUGGGGUGAAGUCGUAACAAGGUAUC